RNAcentral lists this ribosomal RNA (481 nucleotides) under uncultured bacterium. Its description in RNAcentral is "bacterial SSU rRNA". It matches the Rfam family "Bacterial small subunit ribosomal RNA", at positions 28 to 526 of the family's 1533-position model. The record is from RNAcentral.
GACGAACGCUGGCGGCGUGCUUAACACAUGCAAGUCGAGCGGAAAGGCCUUUCGGGGUACUCGAGCGGCGAACGGGUGAGUAACACGUGAGUAAUCUGCCCCAUGCUUUGGGAUAGCCACCGGAAACGGUGAUUAAUACCGGAUACGACGCACUCAGGCAUCUGAUGUGUGUGGAAAGUUUUUCGGCAUGGGAUGUGCUCGCGGCCUAUCAGCUUGAUGGUGAGGUAAUGGCUCACCAUGGCUUCGACGGGUAGCCGGCCUGAGAGGGUGACCGGCCACACUGGGACUGAGACACGGCCCAGACUCCUACGGGAGGCAGCAGUGGGGAAUAUUGGACAAUGGGCGGAAGCCUGAUCCAGCAACGCCGCGUGAGGGAUGACGGCCUUCGGGUUGUAAACCUCUUUCGGUAGGGACGAAGCGAAAGUGACGGUACCUACUAAAGAAGCACCGGCCAACUACGUGCCAGCCGCCGCGGUAACAC